GAUUGGCUCAGGAUGAACGCUGGCGGCGUGCUUAACACAUGCAAGUCGAACGAAGCACUUUAUUUGAUUUCCUUCGGGACUGAUUAUUUUGUGACUGAGUGGCGGACGGGUGAGUAACGCGUGGGUAACCUGCCUUGUACAGGGGGAUAACAGUUGGAAACGGCUGCUAAUACCGCAUAAGCGCACGGCAUCGCAUGAUGCAGUGUGAAAAACUCCGGUGGUAUAAGAUGGACCCGCGUUGG
This 242-nucleotide ribosomal RNA is filed under the name uncultured bacterium. RNAcentral describes it as "partial 16S ribosomal RNA". It matches the Rfam family "Bacterial small subunit ribosomal RNA", at positions 17 to 239 of the family's 1533-position model. The record is from RNAcentral.